Molecule: long non-coding RNA, 1516 nt
Filed under: Anser cygnoides (Swan goose)
Lineage: Eukaryota; Metazoa; Chordata; Aves; Anseriformes; Anatidae
Description: lncRNA (ENSACDG00005016676.1)
Source: RNAcentral
GCGCCCCUAAAGGCCCCGUGGGGGGGUCCCGGUGACCCUAAAGCCCCCGUGGGGGGGUCCCGGUGCCUAUAAAGGUCUUGUGGGGGGGGUCCUGGUGCCCCUAAAGGUCUCAUGGGGGGGUCCCGGUGACCCUAAAGGCCCCGUGGGGGGGUCCCAGAGCCCCUAAAGCCCCCGUGGGGGGGUCCCGGUGCCCCCAAGCCCCCCCAGAGCCCCCUCGGUGCCCAUAAAGCCCCUGUGGGGGGGUCCGGGUGCCCGUGGGGUGGUCCCGGUGCCCACUCAGACCCCACGGGGGGGUCCCGGUGCCCCCAACCUCCUCCCAGAGCCCCCCCCGGUGACCCUAAAGGCCCCUUGGGGGACCCGGUGACCCUAAGGGACCCGUGUGGGGGUUCUGGUGACCCUAAAGCCCCCACGGGGGGGGUCCAGGUGACCCUUGGGGUCAUCCUAGCGCCCCUAAAGGCCCCGUGGGGGGGUCCCGGUGACCCUAAAGGCCCCGUGGGGGAGUCCCGGUGCCCCUAAGAGCCCCGUGGGGGGGUCCCAGUGACCUAAGAGCCCCCAUGGGUGUGUCCCAGUGACCCUAAAGGCCUCGUAGGGGGGUCCCGGUGCCCCCAAAAGCCCCCGUGGGGGUGUCCCGGUGACCCUUGGGGUCAUCCUAGCGCCCCUAAAUCCCCCGUGGGGGUGUCCCGGUGACCCUUGGGGUCAUCCUAGCACCCCUAACGGCCUUGUGGGGGGGUCCCAGUGACCCUAAAGCCCCCGAGGGUGGGUCCCGGUGCCCCUAAAGCCCCCGAGGGGGGGUCCUGGUGACCCUUAGAGCGCCGUGGGGGGGUCCCGGUGACCCUUGGGGUCAUCCCAGCGCCCCUAAAGUCCCCGUGGGGGGGUCCCGGUGCCCAUAAAGGUCCCGGGGGGGGUCCCGGUGACCCUAAGAGCCCCGUGGGGGGGUUGCAGUGACCCUGAGAGCCCCCAUGGGUGUGUCCCAGUGACCCUAAAGCCCCCGGGGGGGGUUCCGGUGACCCUUGGGGUCAUCCUAGCACCCCUAACGGCCUUGUGGGGGGGUCCCAGUGACCCUAAAGCCCCCCGGGGGGGGUCCCAGUGUUCCUAAAGCCCCUGAGGGGGGGUCCUGGUGACCCUAAGAGCGCCGUGGGGGGGUCCCGGUGCCCCUAAAGCCCCCGUGGGGGGGUCCCGGUGCCCCUAAAGCCCCCGAGGGGGGGUCCCGGUGACCCUAAAGGCCCCGUGGGGGGGUCCCGGUGACCCUUGGGGUCAUCCCAGCGCCCCUAAAGCCCCUGAGGGGGGGUCCCGGUGCCCCUAAAGCCCUCGGGGGGGUUCCUGGUGACCCUUGGGGGUCAUCCUAGCACCCCUAAAACCCCCGGGGGGGGUCCCGCUGCCCCUAAAGCCCCCGUGGGAGGGUCCUGGUGCCUCUAAGAGCCCCGUGGGGGGGUUCCAGUGACCCUGAGAGCCCCCAUGGGUGUGUCCCAGUGACGCUAAAGGCCUCGUAGGGGGGUCCCGGUGCCCCCAAAAGCCC